ACCGUGAAAAAAUUAGAGUGUUCAAAGCAGGCAGAUUCAAUUUUCUGCCACCGAAUACAUUAGCAUGGGAUAAUGGAAUAGGACCCUGUCCUCCUAUUUUCAGUUGGUUUUGGCAGCGCGAGGACUAGGGUAAUGAUUAAUAGGGAUAGUUGGGGGCAUUAAUAUUUAAUUGUCAGAGGUGAAAUUCUUGGAUUUAUGAAAGAUUAACUUCUGCGAAAGCAUCUGCCAAGGAUGUUUUCAUUAAUCAAGAACGAAAGUUAGGGGAUCGAAGACGAUCAGAUACCGUCGUAGUCUUAACCAUAAACGAUGCCGACCAGCGAUUAGGAGACGUUGAAUACAAAACACCACCAUCGGCGCGGUCGUCCUUGGCGCGUUCGUGUUCACGCACGAGCGCGCGAGGGCGGUUUAGCCCGGUGGCACCGGUGAAUGACUCCCUAGCAGC
Molecule: ribosomal RNA, 442 nt
Filed under: Acanthamoeba sp. Had_144
Lineage: Eukaryota; Discosea; Longamoebia; Acanthamoebidae
Description: SSU rRNA
Rfam family: Eukaryotic small subunit ribosomal RNA
Source: RNAcentral